This is a ribosomal RNA of Scophthalmus maximus (turbot), 108 nucleotides long. The record is from Ensembl. NCBI's taxonomy places the organism in Eukaryota, Metazoa, Chordata, Actinopteri, Pleuronectiformes, Scophthalmidae.
GCUUACGGCCACACCGCCUGGUUCACGCUUGAUCUCGGAAGCUAAGAUAGGUUGGGCCUGGUUAGUACUUGGACGGAGACGGCCUGGGAAUACCAGGUGCUGUAAGCU